Molecule: ribosomal RNA, 510 nt
Filed under: uncultured bacterium
Lineage: Bacteria
Description: bacterial SSU rRNA
Rfam family: Bacterial small subunit ribosomal RNA
Source: RNAcentral
CCCUANGAGUUGAUUCCUGGCUCAGAUUGAACGCUGGCGGCAGGCCUAACACAUGCAAGUCGAACGGUAACAGGAAGCAGCUUGCUGCUUUGCUGACGAGUGGCGGACGGGUGAGUAAUGUCUGGGAAACUGCCUGAUGGAGGGGGAUAACUACUGGAAACGGUAGCUAAUACCGCAUAACGUCGCAAGACCAAAGAGGGGGACCUUCGGGCCUCUUGCCAUCGGAUGUGCCCAGAUGGGAUUAGCUAGUAGGUGGGGUAACGGCUCACCUAGGCGACGAUCCCUAGCUGGUCUGAGAGGAUGACCAGCCACACUGGAACUGAGACACGGUCCAGACUCCUACGGGAGGCAGCAGUGGGGAAUAUUGCACAAUGGGCGCAAGCCUGAUGCAGCCAUGCCGCGUGUAUGAAGAAGGCCUUCGGGUUGUAAAGUACUUUCAGCGGGGAGGAAGGCGAUAAGGUUAAUAACCUUGUCGAUUGACGUACNCCGCAGAAGAAGCACCGGCAACUC